CGCGGGGGCUCAGAGAAGGCGGAGGGGGCGGUGAGGCCCGAACGCGGGAAAGGCGGAGACCCCGCCUCCCCGGGGCGGAGGGAGAGUUGGGCUCGUUGCUCCAGCCUCCGCCCGCGGCCUCGGGGCACGGCGGGCCCAGGCCGGAGGAGCUUUCGGUGGCGCGACCCCGCUGGCAUGCUCCCGGCCUCGGCCUCGGCCUCGGCCUUGGCCUCCGGGCCUCCAGCGCACGCGGGGCGUCCAGGGCCUCAUCUUCCCCUGGGGACCGCCCGGCCGUGUCCCGCUGCCCUCGGCGCAGGGGUGGGAGUUGCAGAGAGGAAGAGUCGCUAACCCGGAGUGUUUCUUAAAACUUGGCUGACCUGUGACCUGCGGAUUUGGAGGCUGAAUUCUCCGAGCACCUGAAGCUACUGCAGGAUAUAAUCUAAGAAAAUAAGGGGAAGAAAACAAGAAAGAGGAAGACAUUGGAUCCAAGAAAUGGGGGAUCUAUCACCUUACAGAUGAAAAGAGAAUCUACAUGAUCUUUGUGAAGACAGAUAUGACCUUGGGACUUGCUUUAGCCAGUGGAAUGGAAGCAGAAGUAACCUGUAAUUUCCAGGCCCGAGUUCCUGCCACUUCAAGACUUCACCACCUGAGACAAUGAGCAGCAGCAAAGGGAGAAAGCAGCUGCUCAAAUUCUCCAGUAUGUGUGGAUGGAGUGAGGAGGGAUGCUGGGAUAAAAUACUUAGAGAAAAACCCCAGCCCAGGGGCAUGGGCCCAAAUACUGAGGGGCAAAACCUGAACCAGAAGCACCUAUAUGAUGAGAAAGUGAAGAAAAAAAAGGAUGACAGUAAAAUGGUACUGGAAUUAGGGACAUCAUAAAAAUUGACCUCGGUUUUAGAUGUUGAAGAAAUGACAAAAUGAAUAGAAAAAUUAGUAGAGUUAAUAUUUAUGUCUAAUUAUUAUGCAGUAUAUUUCUAUAUAUAAUGUGUUAAUAAAACUUAAAUGUAUUAAAACUAAAUUUUUCUCAAGUUGUAUUUGAUUAGAACAGUAAACUCUGACAUAACAAAUAAUAAGCUUUAUAAACAGUGGCUUACACAGCAUGGAGAUGUGCUCACACUCCAAAACAUCAGAGGGCAUGCUCACUACAAUGUAUCCUCUUUUGAAUAGAAGGAAACUAUACCUUUGGAUCCCUCUCUUCCCUUGGGGCUCACAGAUACAGGACUCAUGCUGAGUUCCUAACCUAAACUCUAAGACUUGUUUCUCAUAAAAAUUUCUCUUUAAUAGUCUUCUUGCUAUACUGUAGUAAUGUUUUAUAACAUUUUUUCCUAUUUUUUUUUCCCGAAAAAAAGAAUAUUUAGGCCAGGUGUUGUGGCUGAUGUCUAUAAUCCCAGUACUUUGCGAUGCCGAGGUAGGAGGAUCACUUGAGCCCAGGAGUUUGAGACUGGCCUGGGUAACAGAGCAACAUAACAUCUCUACUAAAAUUAAAAAGAAAAAUAAAAGGAAAAAAAAGGCAGGUGUGGUGGCUCGUACCUGUAGUCCCAGCUACUUGGCGGGACUGACGGGGUUGGAUCGCCUGAGCCUGGGAGGUUGAGGUUGGAGUGAGCCCCGAUCGCGCCACCGCACUCCAGCCUCAGCAACAGAGCAGGACUCUGUCUCAAAAAAAAAAAAAGAAUAUUUGAAAUAUUGAAUUUUUAAUUUUCCUAAAAAAUACUUACAUCAUUGAAUUUAUGAAAAUUUCUAUUCCUACCCCAUAGAUAACUUACUACACUUCAGUUUUCAUUAAAGUCCACUACCCAAGAGUCUUCCCAAAGCUUUUGUGUCAUCUGAAGUCAAGGUCUAUUUGAAGGCUGAGUGAUUUUUUUUCUGAGAAGU
This 1848-nucleotide long non-coding RNA is filed under the name Homo sapiens (human). RNAcentral describes it as "HSALNT0307924". Lineage: Eukaryota; Metazoa; Chordata; Mammalia; Primates; Hominidae. The record is from RNAcentral.